UGUGGCUGAGAAAUAGGCAGUAAAUUGUAAAUUUACGAACGAAUUUAGAUUCCAUUAUCAGUUAA
RNAcentral lists this transfer RNA (65 nucleotides) under Melanesthes exilidentata. RNAcentral's name for it is "tRNA-Tyr". Lineage: Eukaryota; Metazoa; Arthropoda; Insecta; Coleoptera; Tenebrionidae. The record is from RNAcentral.